RNAcentral lists this ribosomal RNA (492 nucleotides) under uncultured bacterium. RNAcentral's name for it is "partial 16S ribosomal RNA". It matches the Rfam family "Bacterial small subunit ribosomal RNA", at positions 29 to 507 of the family's 1533-position model. The record is from RNAcentral.
AGUGAACGCUGGCGGUAGGCCUAACACAUGCAAGUCGAACGGCAGCACCGUACGAGCUUGCUCUUACGGGUGGCGAGUGGCGGAAGGGUGAGGAAUAUAUCGGAAUCUACUUUUUCGUGGGGGAUCACGUAGGGAAAGUUACGCUAAUACAGCAUACGACCUACGGGUGAAGGCAGGGGAUCUUCGGACCUUGCGCGGUUGGAUGCGCCGAUGUCGGAUUAGCUAGUUGGCGGGGUAAAGGCCAACCAAGGCGGCGAUCCGUAGCUGGUCUGAGAGGAUGGUCAGCCACACUGGAACUGAGACACGGUCCCGACUCCUGCGGGAGGCAGCAGUGGGGAAUAUUGGACAAUGGGCGCAAGCCUGAUCCAGCCAUACCGCGUGGGUGAAGAAGGCCUUCGGGUUGUAAAGCCCUUUUGUUGGGAAAGAAAAGCAGCAGGUUAAUACCCCGCUGUUCUGACGGUACCCAAAGAAUAAGCACCGGCUAACUUCGUG